UACGAAGGGGGCUAGCGUUGCUCGGAAUCACUGGGCGUAAAGGGUGCGUAGGCGGGUCUUUAAGUCAGGGGUGAAAUCCUGGAGCUCAACUCCAGAACUGCCUUUGAUACUGAAGAUCUUGAGUUCGGGAGAGGUGAGUGGAACUGCGAGUGUAGAGGUGAAAUUCGUAGAUAUUCGCAAGAACACCAGUGGCGAAGGCGGCAUCCUGGACCAAUACUGACGCUGAGUGAGCGAAAGCCAGGGGAGCAAACGGG
Molecule: ribosomal RNA, 254 nt
Filed under: uncultured bacterium
Lineage: Bacteria
Description: partial 16S ribosomal RNA
Rfam family: Bacterial small subunit ribosomal RNA
Source: RNAcentral